UAAUACGGGGGGUGCGAGCGUUGUCCGGAAUCACUGGGCGUAAAGGGCGCGUAGGUGGUUUGAUAAGGGUGUGGUGAAAGUCCGGGGCUCAACCCCGGAUCUGCCGUGCCGACUGUCAAACUCGAGGACUGUAGAGGCAGACGGAAUUCCGGGUGUAGCGGUGGAAUGCGUAGAGAUCCGGAGGAAGACCGGUGGCGAAGGCGGUCUGCUGGGCAGUUUCUGACACUGAGGCGCGACAGCGUGGGGAGCAAACAGGAUUAGAUACCCUGGUAGUCCACGCCGUAAACGAUGGGUACUAGGUGCCUGGGGGAGCGACCCUCUGGGUGCCGGCGCUAACGCAGGAAGUACCCCGCCUGGGGAGUACGACCGCAAGGUUG
RNAcentral lists this ribosomal RNA (377 nucleotides) under uncultured bacterium. RNAcentral describes it as "bacterial SSU rRNA". It matches the Rfam family "Bacterial small subunit ribosomal RNA", at positions 521 to 896 of the family's 1533-position model. The record is from RNAcentral.